This is a non-coding RNA of Bactrocera oleae (olive fruit fly), 682 nucleotides long. Lineage: Eukaryota; Metazoa; Arthropoda; Insecta; Diptera; Tephritidae. The record is from RefSeq and is a predicted model, not a curated record.
AUUUCACUCAUAGAUGGCUUCAGUUGAAUUUUUAGAUUUGCUGGCGUAGCAGAGAAUGUAGAUUAUUCUAGAAACAACAUUGUAGAUUUCAAUUCGAAUUAAAAUACAAAGUUUACCUUUGGCCUCGCGUAGUACGCGUUUCUCAUUCUCUCUUUCUGCGGCAGCUGUUUUCAGGCGCACACCUAAAGCUCCGGUAACAAGGCGACGUGCGAGUGCUGCACACGUCUCGGGCCUUUGACGAUAUGGUUGCAGGGAUGCAGCACAUUUCUUAGCCUUUAAGCGAGAUUCUAUUGUAGCUUCCGCUAAUGGCUUAAGUACUACGAAUGGAUGGCCCAUGGUUAAAACUUCAGCAGCUAUUUAAAACAAAGAUAUUCAUAAAUAUUUACAACGUUUUAUGCUUUCCUGGAUUGACCUAACAAACUCACCAAUUCGGGAACUGCUGAACACAGCCAAGGCAUGGGUAUCAUCCACCCAUUUAAUAUCAAAACCAGAUUCCUUGUAUUGGGAAAAAACCAUAAGAAGGUCAUGAUUCUUAAAUUCGACAGGGAAAUUGGAUACUUCAAGUACGUGUGGGAAUUCCUCAUCGUUGAGUAUAGACUGCUUUGUAAGAUAUGCCUAUAUGUCAAAAUAAAAUUUAGUUAUUAAUUAAAUAUAUACUCCAGACAAAUAUCUACACUAUAAU